AUGAGUGUGCACGCUUUGCCGGGAGAUGGAGAAAUGCCAUUCACAGGAGCUGUCUGUGCCUAACAGUUUCUUAAACUAUGGGACAGACAACAGGAGUUAUUCUCAGGAACUAGUUUGCAUUGAGUUGCAUAGUGGUUAUCUGUCAUUAAUCUGACAUUUGGGGCUGUCUCAUUUUACUGCUGCUCUGAUUGUUAGAAGUAAGACUGCUAUUAGCACAAGUUUACUUCUAAAGGUUGGUAUGUGCUGAGCCCCAAACUCUGAGGAAUAUUUGUACCAAGAUUUUGGGACAGGCAGUGAGAAAUAUUCUGUUCCUCCUACAACCAGGAGAAGCCAGAACAGAGAGAUGGAAAUGGAUGGAAAACAGGCAGCAGGGAAUCUAAGUGAUUAACAGAUAGAUCGCUCUGCCGGGCAGUAUCAUACUGAAGGUUAAGCCUGGUUUUAAGUGAGAUGCUACACAUUUAAAGCAACUCCCUCUACUUAAAGCUUAUUACAGAGAUCUACAAAGUCAGUGAGUAACAUCUAGGAGACUGCAAACAUCCCAGAGACAGGGUCUUUCUUCCUCUAAGUAUUUGCACAGACCAGUAUUUGUGCAGGACCAGAGCUACCUUUGUCAGGCACUAGGGACUGCAGGAGGCUCAGUGCCACUGUUACCUUAGGCAGUUUGCUCAGCAGACAUCCAGCUCCUGCAGUCCAGCAGGCUCACUGGAGUUGGCAGUCACAGGGCCUGAAGAACUGGACUCAGUUUGCAGUUCCCCACAACGCACGUCCUUACAGCAAGACGCUUGCCCUGCCUUAAAGAGAAACCAGUGCAAAGCAGUGCACUGAUUUUUUUUUUUUACUGCUUCUAUAUCGACACAUCUUCUGUUACUGCAUUUAUCUGCACAUCCAAGCAAUGAAGAAAAAAAAAAACAACCAACCAACCAGCCAUGAAGUUUUCAAUUCAACCCUGGCACAAACAGCACAAUUCCCUUGGACACCAGUGCAUAUUGCACCCAGUAAUAUCAUUAUAUGACCUGAGACUACGUUUUCUCCUUCAACACCCUUGAACAGCUCUAAGAACAUGGCAAGGCACUAGAUUUUGUUAUUAACUCAUACUGAGCCUUCAUUUCCGUCAUGCU
This is a long non-coding RNA of Lepidothrix coronata (blue-crowned manakin), 1118 nucleotides long. RefSeq lists it as uncharacterized. Lineage: Eukaryota; Metazoa; Chordata; Aves; Passeriformes; Pipridae. The record is from RefSeq and is a predicted model, not a curated record. The transcript is spliced from 3 exons.